UCCGAAGGGGGCUAGCGUUGCUCGGAAUCACUGGGCGUAAAGGGUGCGUAGGCGGGGCUUUAAGUCAGGGGGGAAAUCCUGGAGCUCAACUCCAGAACUGCCUUUGAUACUGAGGAUCUUGAGUCCGGGAGAGGUGAGUGGAACUGCGAGUGUAGAGGUGAAAUUCGUAGAUAUUCGCAAGAACACCAGUGGCGAAGGCGGCUCACUGGCCCGGUACUGACGCUGAGGCACGAAAGCGUGGGGAGCAAACAGG
RNAcentral lists this ribosomal RNA (253 nucleotides) under uncultured bacterium. RNAcentral describes it as "partial 16S ribosomal RNA". It matches the Rfam family "Bacterial small subunit ribosomal RNA", at positions 524 to 776 of the family's 1533-position model. The record is from RNAcentral.